RNAcentral lists this transfer RNA (85 nucleotides) under Candidatus Uhrbacteria bacterium. Its description in RNAcentral is "tRNA-Leu". It matches the Rfam family "tRNA". From Rfam's summary of the family: Transfer RNA (tRNA) molecules are approximately 80 nucleotides in length. Their secondary structure includes four short double-helical elements and three loops (D, anti-codon, and T loops). Lineage: Bacteria; Candidatus Uhriibacteriota. The record is from RNAcentral.
GGGCGAGUGGUGGAACUGGUAGACACGCUAGCCUUAGGAGCUAGUGGAGCAAUCCGUGUGGGUUCGAGUCCCACCUCGCCCACCA